UUUGUUGUAGUCCUGACGAAGUCAUCUUCAGUCCUGAAGUCCAUCAAGCCUUGUAUUGCCAUCUCUUAUCCGGAAUCCUCUUCAGAGACCAAGUGCAAUACGUCUUUGCCUCCUUCGCUCACGGUCUUGUCCACGCGUUUAGAACCUUUGAACAGCUUUGGGAAGAGGUCGUUACCGAUAUAGAAGACGGCGUCUUGAGCAGCCGUAUCACCGUCCCAUCGGUACGUACCGCAAUGGCCAAGCUCCUCAGUGGUCCUAACCCUGAGCUAGCGGAGACUAUACGAACCAAGUGUAUGAGUUUGAGCAACUGGUACGGGUUGAUCCCCGCGCUGUUCCCGAACGCGAAGUAUGUUUAUGGGAUCAUGACUGGCUCCAUGGAGCCGUAUGUGAAGAAGCUGAGGCAUUACGCUGGUGAGCUACCUCUUGUGAGUCAUGACUACGGUAGCUCCGAAGGAUGGAUUGCUGCUAACGUUAGGCCGAGAUUGUCUCCAGAGGAAGCUACGUUUGCUGUUGUUCCGAAUCUUGGUUACUUCGAGUUUCUCCCUUUGUCUGAAACAGGGGAAACAGAGGAGAGACCACCGGUUGGUUUAACUGAAGUCAAGGUAGGACAAGAGUAACUUUCCCUUUCUGGAUGCUCAGAUACAUAAAGAGCUUAAAGCUUCUUUUUUUGAACUUUGCUUAAAGUUUCUUCUUUCAUUAUAUUAUCACACUAGAUAUCUCUGCAAAUCUGUCAGAAUCUCUGCCGUCUUUUGCUAAAUACUAUGAGAAUCUAAUACGCUUUGUCUCCAGCUAUUUUUAUAAAACUAUUGCCACUUUCUUUUUUUUCUGAACUCAGGAUGUUGGAGAAAAAGGUUGAGACUUUCAACAUGAACAGAGUCAUCGACGAGUUCGAGGAAAUGACAAGAAACGCUGACCAAGUCCAGAAACAAACCCUCAAAGAGAUUCUACACAAGAACCAAUCCGCCAUCUACUUACAAAACUUUGGUAUCAAUGGAAACACAACUGACCCAGAAGCUUUCAAAGCAUUGGUUCCAUUAGUCACUGAUCUUGAUUUAGAGCCUUACAUCAAAAGAAUGGUGGACGGUGACACUUCUCCUAUUCUCACAGCCCUUCCCGUUCCAGCCAUCUCCUUAAGGUUUCCCUUUGACAUAAGAACAUCCCUUCUGCCUUCUAAAUAUGAAUGAUUAUAUGUUUCUCAGAGAUUUUGUGUGUUUCUCUGUUGUGAUCAACAGCUCUGGAACUAGUCAAGGCCGUCCUAAGUUUAUUCCUUUCACUGAUGAGUUAAUGGAGAACACAUUACAACUCUUUCGCACUGCUUUUGCCUUCAGAAACAGGUACCACUUUCCUCUAUUCCAUUCAUUUAUUACACAUAAACAUAGUUAAACAACGUCUAACUCAGUUCCUUCAAAAUAAAAUUUAUAGUGUUUUUACAUAUAUUAAAAAAAAAACAAAUUAAAUCACUAUUAUAAAUGCAUCAUAUUUUGCAAUUAUCAAUUUCUAGUAACUUUUAACCAAUAAAAUUUGUAGUGUUGUUUUACUAAAAACAUCUAUCUUUAAAAGUAACAGAGGGAGGACUAAGUGUGUCUGUGUGUGCUGUCUUUAAAACAUGGUUGAUGUUUCAUUUAUACAGAGACUUCCCAAUUGAUGACAACGGGAGAGCUUUGCAGUUUAUCUUCAGCAGCAAGCAAUACAUAUCAAAGGGAGGUGUCCCUGUCGGAACAGCAACCACAAACGUUUACCGUAACCCUAACUUCAAAGCAGGGAUGAAGGCUAUACAGUCCCUUUGUUGUAGUCCUGACGAAGUCAUCUUCAGUCCUGAAGUCCAUCAAGCCUUGUAUUGCCAUCUCUUAUCCGGAAUCCUCUUCAGAGACCAAGUGCAAUACGUCUUUGCCUCCUUCGCUCACGGUCUUGUCCACGCGUUUAGAACCUUUGAACAGCUUUGGGAAGAGGUCGUUACCGAUAUAGAAGACGGCGUCUUGAGCAGCCGUAUCACCGUCCCAUCGGUACGUACCGCAAUGGCCAAGCUCCUCAGUGGUCCUAACCCUGAGCUAGCGGAGACUAUACGAACCAAGUGU
RNAcentral lists this long non-coding RNA (2075 nucleotides) under Brassica napus (rape). RNAcentral describes it as "long non-coding RNA (BNAP_LNC013146)". The record is from RNAcentral. Lineage: Eukaryota; Viridiplantae; Streptophyta; Magnoliopsida; Brassicales; Brassicaceae.